This 292-nucleotide ribosomal RNA is filed under the name uncultured bacterium. RNAcentral's name for it is "partial 16S ribosomal RNA". It matches the Rfam family "Bacterial small subunit ribosomal RNA", at positions 330 to 642 of the family's 1533-position model. The record is from RNAcentral.
UCCGGCCUACGGGGGGCAGCAGUGGGGGAUAUUGCACAAUGGGGGGAACCCUGAUGCAGCGACGCCGCGUGUGGGAAGACGGUCCUCUGGAUUGUAAACCACUGUCCCCAGGGACGAAAAUGACGGUACCUGGGGAGGAAGCUCCGGCUAACUACGUGCCAGCAGCCACGGUAAUACGUAGGGAGCGAGCGUUGUCCGGAAUUACUGGGUGUAAAGGAAGCGUAGGCGGGGAUGCAAGUUGGGUGUCAAAACUACCGGCUCAACUGGCAGUCGCACUCAAAACUGCAGCUCU